ACAUGGGGCCAUUGUGUAGUAUCACCGCCGGAUAUAGGUGUCCCCCAGAAGCGGUGGAAAAAGUCAGGUUGAUGAUUUGACUGUGGUUUUCUACAUCAGUUGGUGAUAACGUCUCAACAGUUGAAAAUGUACAGUUUAUUUUGAUAACGCAUUUUACAGUUAGGUCAGUAAAGACUAUAAUAGGUGGAGAGCAACACUUACAUUCAAUUCACAGUAACACAGAAUCGUUGAGCAAGUUGAAGUAAAAAUUAGAUGAUAUGUAUGCAUACAAGCUAUUAUACAUAUUAAUCCUGAUACGAGGUUGAAGUAAAAAUUAGAUGAUAUGUAUGCAUACAAGCUAUUAUACAUAUUAAUCCUGGUACGAGAAAUAAGUUUAUGCAAUAUUCGAAUUUGUCUAACAUGGUCUGUGGGUGAAAAGAUUUUAACAUUGUCUUGCAAAGUUGACGAAUUACGUUAUAAAGUAUACCUUGUCAAUCAGUAUCACAAAACGCUAGGAUAUUGUGUACAUCCUUUUCCAGUUCCAGAGUGUUAUAACUUGUAUAGAAAUUCCACUAUAACCCAAAAUGCUUCAACAAACGUAACAUCUCUAAUUGUUAAAGGAGGCAACAACAUUAAUGGACAGUGGUCAUGUCUGCAUGGAACAAAUUUAGACGUAGCAAGUGUCAAUGUCACCGUGCUCCGUUUUAAAGAGACAAAAUAUUCAGUUACAGCAUAUGGAUGUCUUGUAUGGACAAAUGUGCCAUUUCUUAGUACUAUAAUGUUGAGUCGUCAAAUAUUAUGGUUUAUGGAAUAUAAACAGGAAAGACGAGUAAUUGUACUUUGGUGUGUUGCAUUCUGUUCUUUUGCGUUCAUCACAAACUUUUGCAAAGAAAACUAUUCCCAACUGGUAUUUAUGUUAUUGAAAUGUAUCCUGAUGUUUUUCUGCUGUAUUAUUUUGAUCAUUGUACCUCUUUUCAUCGGAACUAUAGAUGAACUAGGCCGUUGUACAGGAUUUUUCAAGUACGUCCUGAUGAUUAUUGGUAUCAUAACAGGAGUAAUAAUGAUUCUAUUAUUGUUAUCGAAAGGAAAAUAUCAACAGCGCAUUAAAAGCACAUCUAAAGAAGCAAUUGGACUGGAGGAAGAUUUUUGAGCCAACAAUAUUUCAUAGGGCAUAUGAGGAUACACAUUAGUGAGCAGUUACUUACAGUAUCGACUAAACUGCAUGAGAUAUAUAAAGAUUGAAGAUUGAGGAUAUACAUGAUAUAGGCUCAAGACAUUGGAAUGACAUACACUUAACCGUCGGACAAUAUUAUAGUCAUGUAUAUCUUUUAUUUGUUUUCCCAACAAUUACCAUGAAGUAAAAAAUGCAAAAAUA
Mytilus californianus (California mussel) is the source of this 1354-nucleotide long non-coding RNA. RefSeq lists it as uncharacterized. The record is from RefSeq and is a predicted model, not a curated record. The transcript is spliced from 11 exons. Lineage: Eukaryota; Metazoa; Mollusca; Bivalvia; Mytilida; Mytilidae.